UGCCUCGUUAUUCACAGACACAACUCCCUGUGUCAGUGUCUGAACUGAAGAACGUGGCUAGAGGAGUGACAGGUUAUGCUUUCCUCACUGCAAAGUUAAUUGCAGUGGUGACAAUGAGGCCUGUAACAGGU
RNAcentral lists this small nucleolar RNA (131 nucleotides) under Eurypyga helias (sunbittern). Its description in RNAcentral is "Small nucleolar RNA SNORA1". It matches the Rfam family "Small nucleolar RNA SNORA1". From Rfam's summary of the family: ACA1 is a member of the H/ACA class of snoRNA that guide the sites of modification of uridines to pseudouridines. Lineage: Eukaryota; Metazoa; Chordata; Aves; Eurypygiformes; Eurypygidae. The record is from Rfam by way of RNAcentral.